Molecule: long non-coding RNA, 339 nt
Organism: Centruroides sculpturatus (bark scorpion)
Lineage: Eukaryota; Metazoa; Arthropoda; Arachnida; Scorpiones; Buthidae
Exons: 3
Source: RefSeq, a predicted model, not a curated record
GUUGGAAGUUUUUUUUUUUUUUAUAUUUUGUGUAAAAAUCUUAUUUUAUUAAUUAUAAUGUUUAGAGAUGUGAAUGCCUGUUAUAAAAUCCGGUAUUUAAUUUGAUUGUUUGCAUGAUUAAUUUGUAGUUAAAAGAACCUUUAACUCAAUGUUGCACUUCAGCUUUUAAAAUAUUGUCGUCAUUGCCGGAAAGUGAUAUAUUCAAAAAGUUAUAUAACCGAAUAGCACAAGUAAAGUUUAAAUUUAUUAAAAUUGCAUAUAUAAAACAUUAUAUAUAAUCUAAUUUUGUUGUUAACCCCAACAAGAUUUUAUUAACAGUUUCCGCUAUGAUCACCGCAU